ACGAUUACUGAUUUGUGCUGCGUUCAGGAGUCGCUUUUGGGUUGAAUCUCAGUCGAGAACUUUACAUCACUCCAAAAUCAAAGGAGCUUAAUUUUGCUUGAAGAAAACUAAGCCUUAUUUUAGGUCCAGCAAGAUGGCUUGUAUUGCAUCGUUUUAUUUUAAUGACAACAAAACAUUCCUAUUGGUGGCCCACUGAAGCUGGGCGGGGUUAGGACAGAUGGCGCUCUAGACUAGUUUCCAUUAGCAUAAACAUUUCUUUUUUUUUUUUUUUUUUUUUUUUUAGUCGUUUAUCUCAGUAUUGUUCAAAGACAGAAAUCUCGUGGGUCAAAUUAUACAAAUACAUAUAAUAUAUAUUUGUUUAUUUACAGGCAUUAUAUUCAGGAUCAUAGUUGAUAUCUAACAAACGAUCGAACAUUCGGUGGUUUGGAAAGUAAAAAAGAACCAAAGGAUGGUAAAAGAAAUGAAAGCGAGAGAUGGGCUUUAACAAUUUUUGUAGUAAAUUUGGAAAGUAUCAAUUAUAUAUAUAUAUAUAUUGUUCAAAUCAGUCUGUAGUAAACCAAUAUAAAAGUAAUACUUUAGUUAAUACCAGUAC
Non-coding RNA from Danio rerio (zebrafish), 592 nucleotides. The record is from Ensembl. NCBI's taxonomy places the organism in Eukaryota, Metazoa, Chordata, Actinopteri, Cypriniformes, Danionidae.